This 142-nucleotide ribosomal RNA is filed under the name Gomphodesmidae sp. MPE04223. RNAcentral describes it as "partial small subunit ribosomal RNA". Lineage: Eukaryota; Metazoa; Arthropoda; Diplopoda; Polydesmida; Gomphodesmidae. The record is from RNAcentral.
AAGGUGGAUUUGUUAGUAAUUUUGUUUUAUUAUUGCUUUAUGGAUUGUGGGAUUGUAUGUGUACAUAUUGCCCGUCGCUCUCGGUUUAAUCUGAGAUAAGUCGUAACAUAGUUGAUAUACUGGAAGGUGUAUCUUUUUGGAU